UACGGGGGGGAGCAAGCGUUGUUCGGAUUUACUGGGCGUAAAGGGCGCGUAGGCGGCGUGACAAGUCACUUGUGAAAUCUCCGGGCUUAACUCGGAACGGUCAAGUGAUACUGGCGUGCUAGAGUACAGAAGGGGCAACUGGAAUUCUCGGUGUAGCGGUGAAAUGCGUAGAUAUCGAGAGGAACACCCGUGGCGAAGGCGGUUCUCUGGGGACGGUACUGACGCUGAGACGCGAAAGCGUGGGGGAGCGAACAGG
This 256-nucleotide ribosomal RNA is filed under the name uncultured bacterium. RNAcentral describes it as "partial 16S ribosomal RNA". It matches the Rfam family "Bacterial small subunit ribosomal RNA", at positions 524 to 776 of the family's 1533-position model. The record is from RNAcentral.